UACGUAGGGGGCCAGCGUUGCUCGGAAUUACUGGGCGUAAAGGGUUCGUAGGCGGUGCGGCAAGUUGGGAGUGAAAUCUCUGGGCUCAACCCAGAGGCUGCUUCCAAAACUGCUGUGCUUGAGUGUGAGAGAGGCUCGUGGAAUUGCAGGUGUAGCGGUGAAAUGCGUAGAUAUCUGCAGGAACACCCGUGGCGAAGGCGGCUGACUGGAUCGCAACUGACACUGAGGAACGAAAGCUAGGGGAGCAAACAGG
This 253-nucleotide ribosomal RNA is filed under the name uncultured bacterium. RNAcentral describes it as "partial 16S ribosomal RNA". It matches the Rfam family "Bacterial small subunit ribosomal RNA", at positions 524 to 776 of the family's 1533-position model. The record is from RNAcentral.